Molecule: long non-coding RNA, 4537 nt
Filed under: Nicotiana benthamiana
Lineage: Eukaryota; Viridiplantae; Streptophyta; Magnoliopsida; Solanales; Solanaceae
Description: long non-coding RNA (NBEN_LNC004333)
Source: RNAcentral
UCAUGCAAACUGUGAGGGAGGUGCUUAACCGGUGCUUAGAGAACUACCUGGGAUGCUUUACAAGCGAUAUUCCAAAGGAAUGGGAACAUUGGUUACCAUGGGCAGAAUAGUGGUACAAUACCACUUAUCAUUCGGAAACCAAACAAAGAGCGUUUGAAGUGGUAUAUAGGCGCCAACCACCUCUAAUUAGGUCCUAUACUCAUUAGACUGACAAAGUGCAUCAAGUUGAUUGCGACUUACGCUAGGGACUGUGUUUGCAACUUUGAAAGGAGCUCACUACCAGGACGGACGGGUAUAAGCGAUUAGCGAUAAGCUAUAGUUUUUCAAAAAACUAGAACCAUACCGCUUUGAACAGAGUCUCCCUCUUUGACUAGUGCUACCUCCGGUGAAAGGAAUGAAGAUCUUGCAUAUAGGCAACCGACUGACGUAUACAAACAGAAAAAAUAAGCAACUAAAAAAGCGAGUGGGUUGACGAAUCGUUGCUUUACACAAAUAGCUAAUAUUACUUGAGUUGUAAGUAAAAAAAAGGCUAACCAGCUUUUGUCCAGGAAGCACAACAAAAGAAUAGUAAUAGGCAGAAGCAGUGGUAAGAAGGCCCAUCUCAAGUGAAAUAAAUAACAAUAGCAUUCAGUUGUCUUCACAACGGGGCAACAACCCUUAUUUUGCCAACUGAGGCCGCGAGCUCUAAUGUUUUUUUUGUUGGGACCACCAGAUUGAAGGAAACCUCAUGCAUGCUUUGUCACCUCUGCACUAUCUCGAUUAAUCGCCUUUUGCGCAUGCAUAAAGAUGUCUCCUUAUUUUAUAUGUCACUCGAUGACUUGAGUAGGAGCUUUCCCUUUCUUUCCCGUCUGUGCUUUUCUCUCCCUCUUUGCCUUCUUUGAAUAAAAAAGCCAGGAAGUCAGCCAGUCUGUUCUUAAUAAGGGUAAGCCAGUACGGUAAUCCUUCUUUCUAAGAGUCCUCAGCCCUAGGGUCCUCGUAGUCCAUUAGGAAGAGGGGGAACCGAAGCUCUAUGUCCUUGAAGAGAUGAUAAAAGAGAGAAAUACCGCCACGCGUACUAAAAGCGCGAUCUUGAAACUAGAAACUUUGGUUUGGAACAAAUGAGCGGAUAGGCUUGACGAAGUUUAGGAAAAAUGCAAUAAUAUAAUAAUAAAGUUUUGCCGUUCUGUCUUUCGCACGGAAGUCUGUCUGUCUUCAUUCCAAUCAUCGUAGUUCGAUCGAUCAACUACGCCCAUCCAAUCUAACCAUCUCUCCUGAAGCCCUUUAUUUUGCCGUUCAGUCUUUCGCACGGAAGUCUGUCUGUCUUCAUUCCAAUCAUCGUAGUUCAAUCGAUCAACUACGCCCAUCCAAUCUAACCAUCUCUCCUGAAGCCCUUUCCCUUCUAGUAGCCCUUCAUCGUUAUUGAAACAUAGGUCCUCGGCAGGCGGGAACAAAAAGAGAAAGAAGAAGAUAGAAAGGUUCGGUCCCAGUUGGUCUCGUCUAUGGAUUUUCUUUCCCUAUCCUAUUGUCGAGACGAAUGUUAAACAUAGGUCCUCGGCAGGCGGGAAGAAAAAGAGAAAGAAGAAGAUAAAAAGGUUAGGUCCCAGUUGGUCUCGUCAAUGGAUUUUCUUUCCCUAGCCUAUUGUCGAGACGAAUGUGGCCAUACCCAGAGGACUAUCGCUUCAGCAAGACGACUUUUUAGUCAGAUCCUUCCUGCGCUUUGGAUAUGAAGAAUUUGAUCGAUCGAUUUAAGAAAGAUGAAAAAACAAAGGCCCCCUCUUUCUCCAGAACUUGGACUCAAUCCACAUCCCUUGCUUGAACCUUCUAGACCGAACUCAAUUCAAUAAAGUUUCCCCGUCCGAUAGGUGCUAUAUAUAGUGGGCGAUUUACCUAGUAUUCAGCAUUCUAGAAGCAACUUCUUUAUUCUACUCGCUACCGGUUGGGUCUUAUUAAUCUACAAUAAUCGAUAAGAAAAUCACUGCCGCUGUCAGCUACAGACCCAAAGUAGGACCUAAACAAUGAACUCUUCUCUUUGGCAACAAACAAUCAAACUCAAACCUUUAUGAAGACGAGCAUACGAUGUGACUUGAACCACGCCCUCACUUCACGUCUUCUGACAGCGGUUAGAACGGCAAUGACUCUAUCUUUCUCCUCUGAUUCCUAUCGAGUUGCCCAAAGGCUUCUCUUCUGACUGUGCUCGUUGGGGCAUUAAGCCUAGGGUCAAUCUGACCCUUGCCGCAGGCUCCCCCUGAGUCUUUCUAUAUGUGACUUGAACCCCGCCCUCAGUUCACGUCUUCUGACAGAGGUUAGAACGGCAAUGACUCUAUCUUUCUCCUCUGAUUCCUAUCGAGUUGCCCAAAGGCUUCUCUUCUGACUGUGCUCGUUGGGGCAUUAAGCCUAGGGUCAAUCUGACCCUUGCCGCAGGCUCCCCCUGAGUCUUUCUUUUGGUGUGACUGUUUUUCUAUCAAUAUCCGGUGAUCAAGAAGAGAAUGCCGUAAUGGAAUGGGCGAGGCCUAUUCUCAUCUCUUCCCCUCAUCCAGUUCCUAGUUUCUAAGCUACUGAUGAAUCUAGCUAUGAGGGAUUCCUCAUCUCAUACAUCAGGGUCGAAACGAAAGAAGACAGGAUAGACUUUGAUACCUCAACUUGAUUUGUUGAUUGCUUCUUUGGUUGAUUGAUUCUUGAAGACAAGCAUACAGACAGUGACACAGAUCCAUUUCUGCUUUCAUUUCCUGCUAGUUUGGUUGCACUUGGGCUUAAAAGCGACUUUCCAAUCUUAAGGCUAUUGGUAUUGCUUCAACCCACUUGGUGAAGUAGUCUUACGCGGUGAUAACAAAAUGGUGACCAUGACUAGAAGGGAAAGGCGGAGGUACGAAAGAGGGUUCGCUAAUCAGAUUUCCACUCAUAGAAAGCCUGAAGUUCGUCCUCAACUGCUAACAGUUCCAAAUGCCGAAGCAGGGAAGAAGAAGUGGUAUCUGUUGAUGAAUUGCCAUUGCAUGGAUCUCCCUCCACAGCUUCUAUUCGCAGAUGCGGAUAUUUCCGGGUGAUUGAAUAUGACUCAUUAAAAUUAGUAAGGCUCAACCUUAGCGGGCUCCUUCACUUCAUGCCUUUGCUCUAGCGGAAUGAAUAUCUAUACCGGGCUUUCUUUUUUUAGGCAGUCGAGCAUCAGAUCUAUUUCUUUGCUGGCCAGUUCUUAAGCAUUCUCUGAGUGUUGGAAGUACGUCACACUCCUCUCCAGGCCAAAAGAAGUGUGAUCUCAAUCAGGUCCUUUUAUAGCCCCUUCCAGCCAAGCCAGUUGGAGUGGUACCGAUCGAGUCAGGCGCAUUUCUCUCAACCACGAGGUAGAUUGGAAAGGAAAUUCGCACAUUGAUCUCUCUCAUUGAUUCAGGAAAACUUCUUCUCUUGAUAGAGGGCUAGCCUCGCCACAGUCAACGACUGAGGAAAGCCGGUCUGUGGCAGUCAACAAGCAGCACUUGUCAUAGGAGCGAACCCUACCCUCUUCAGUCAAAUAGGGACGAGCUUGUCAACAAGCAGCACUUGUCAUAAGAGGGAACCCUACCCUCUUCAGUCAAAUAGGGACGAGCUCUAUCCAUUGUCCCCAGAGUUGACCGACGAUGUGAAGGAGAAGAAUGCUACUCUAUAAUCGGUACAGUCCUCUUUCUGAAAGCGCUCUGCCCAGCUUAGCGCAUGGAAGGGCGAGUCGUUCUGUUAGGGUAGGGGUCACGCCCUAGAAAGGUCUGAGGCAACGAGAUCAACUGCUGACCCAAGAAGGUAGGGAAGAGACGAGGAAGGGCUAAUCCCCGAGUCAGGGGCAUCUAUCUUUAUUUACGCAAAGCAAAGCUAUUUAUUGAUGUCGAUUUAGAUAUGUUCAUUGGCCUGCGACUGAUCUCAUCGUCUGUUUUCCCCAAGUUGUUCUGUUAGGGUAGGGGUCACGCCCUAGAAAGGUCUAAGGCAACAACAUCAACUGCUGACCCAAGAAGGUAGGGAAGAGACGAGGAAGGGCUAAUCCCCGAGUCAGGGGCAUCUAUCUUUAUUUACGCAAAGCAAAGCUAUUUAUUGAUGUCGAUUUAGAUAUGUUCAUUGGCCUGCGACUGAUCUCAUCGUCUGUUUUCCCCCUCUUUCUUAUUCAAGAGUUCUCCUCCCUAACGACACACCAAUGUGAACAGUUCAUUCAAACUUGUAUGUGUGAAGCAUAUUGAAAGUGACAUUGACAAAGCAAAGCACUGAUUCCCUAGAAUGUUAGAACUCAGACAUGACAGAGAAGGUAGUCAAAAACGGUACGCUAAGCUCGGAGGAGCUUAACCGGUGCUUAGAGAACUACCUGGUAUGCUUUACAAGCGAUAUUCCAAAGGAAUGGGAACAUUGGUUACCAUGGGCAGAAUAGUGGUACAAUACCACUUAUCAUUCGGAAACCAAACAAAGAGCGUUUGAAGUGGUAUAUAGGCGCCAACCACCUCUAAUUAGGUCCUAUACUCAUUAGUCCGACAAAGUGCAUCAAGUUGAUUGCGACUUACGCUAGGGAUUGUGUUUGCAACUUUGAAAGGAGCUCACUAUCAGGACGGAC